Molecule: ribosomal RNA, 253 nt
Filed under: uncultured bacterium
Lineage: Bacteria
Description: partial 16S ribosomal RNA
Rfam family: Bacterial small subunit ribosomal RNA
Source: RNAcentral
UACGUAGGGGGCAAGCGUUGUCCGGAUUUAUUGGGCGUAAAGAGCGUGUAGGCGGCCAUACAGGUCCGUUGUGAAAACUGGAGGCUCAACCUCCAGACGACGACGGAAACCGUAUGGCUAGAGUCCGGAAGAGGAGAGUGGAAUUCCUGGUGUAGCGGUGAAAUGCGCAGAUAUCAGGAAGAACACCCGUGGCGAAGGCGGCUCUCUGGGACGGUACUGACGCUGAGACGCGAAAGCGUGGGGAGCGAACAGG